Non-coding RNA from Pelobates cultripes (western spadefoot toad), 392 nucleotides. The record is from the annotation of a GenBank genome assembly. Lineage: Eukaryota; Metazoa; Chordata; Amphibia; Anura; Pelobatidae.
CACAUACACACAUACAGCCAGAUACACACACAUACAGCCAGAUACACAUACACACAUACAGCCAGAUACACACACACACAUACAGCCAGAUACACAUACACAAAUACAGCCAGAUACACAUACAGCCAGAUACACACACAUACAGCCAGAUACACAUACACACAUACAGCCAGAUACACAUACACACAUACAGCCAGAUACACACACAUACAGCCAGAUACACACACACACACACAGUCAGAUACACACACACACAUACAGCCAGAUACACACUCAUACAGCCAGAUACACAUACAUACAGCCAGAUACACAUACACACAUACAGCCAGAUACACACACAUACAGACAGAUACACAUACACACAUACAGCCAGAUACACACACACACACACA